RNAcentral lists this ribosomal RNA (451 nucleotides) under uncultured bacterium. Its description in RNAcentral is "partial 16S ribosomal RNA". It matches the Rfam family "Bacterial small subunit ribosomal RNA", at positions 28 to 507 of the family's 1533-position model. The record is from RNAcentral.
GAUGAACGCUGGCGGCGUGCCUAACACAUGCAAGUCGAGCGGCAGCGAGGGGUGCUUGCACCCUGUCGGCGAGCGGCGGACGGCUGAGUAACGCGUGGGAACGUGCCCCAAAGUGAGGAAUAACUGCCCGAAAGGGUAGCUAAUACCGCAUAUUAUCUUCGGAUCAAAGGAUUUAUCCGCUUUGGGAGCGGCUCGCGUCGGAUUAGGUAGUUGGUGAGGUAAUGGCUCACCAAGCCGACGAUCCGUAGCUGGUCUGAGAGGAUGACCAGCCAGACUGGAACUGAGACACGGUCCAGACUCCUACGGGAGGCAGCAGUGAGGGAUCUUCCACAAUGGGCGAAAGGCUGAUGGAGCAACGCCGCGUGCAGGACGAAGGCCGUCGGGUUGUAAACUGCUUUUAUAAGUGAGGAAUAUGACGGUAACUUAUGAAUAAGGAUCGGCUAACUACGUG